RNAcentral lists this ribosomal RNA (292 nucleotides) under uncultured eukaryote. RNAcentral describes it as "partial 18S ribosomal RNA". It matches the Rfam family "Eukaryotic small subunit ribosomal RNA", at positions 6 to 313 of the family's 1831-position model. The record is from RNAcentral.
GGUUGAUCCUGCCAGUAAUCAUAUGCUCAUUUCGAAGACUAAGCCAUGCAUGUUUAAGUAUAAGUUGAAUACAACGAAACUGCGAAUCGCUCAUUAAAACAAUUAUAGUUUUUGUGGAUAAUUUCUACACGGAUCAACUGUGGUAAUUCUGGAGCUAAUACGUGACUGAACAUCCAUUUGGAUGUCACAUAUUAGAUGAGAAUCAAACUGUGUAAACAGAAUCUGAUGAUCCAUAAUAAGGUCGUGAAUCGCAUGGUGAAUGCCGGCGAUAUUCCACCUAGGUUUUUGACUU